AUUGUGGCAGCAAUGCACACUAAAAUUGUGAGUGGUGCAGAGAUUUGCAUUGCCCCUGUGCAAGGACGGCACGCAAAUAUUCAAAGUGUUCCAUAUCAUG
Molecule: small nuclear RNA, 100 nt
Filed under: Procavia capensis (Cape rock hyrax)
Lineage: Eukaryota; Metazoa; Chordata; Mammalia; Hyracoidea; Procaviidae
Source: RNAcentral